This 303-nucleotide ribosomal RNA is filed under the name uncultured bacterium. RNAcentral describes it as "bacterial SSU rRNA". It matches the Rfam family "Bacterial small subunit ribosomal RNA", at positions 355 to 673 of the family's 1533-position model. The record is from RNAcentral.
UGGGGGAUAUUGCACAAUGGGGGGAACCCUGAUGCAGCGACGCCGCGUGAGGGAAGACGGCCUUCGGGUUGUAAACCUCUGUCGCAGGGGACGAAGAAGAUGACGGUACCCUGUGAGGAAGCCACGGCUAACUACGUGCCAGCAGCCGCGGUAAUACGUAGGUGGCGAGCGUUGUCCGGAAUUACUGGGUGUAAAGGGAGCGUAGGCGGGAUAUUAAGUUGAAUGUAUAAACUAUCAGCUCAACUGAUAGAAGCGUUCAAAACUGAUAUUCUUGAGUGAAGUAGAGGCAGGCGGAAUUCCUAG